This 874-nucleotide unclassified non-coding RNA is filed under the name Hevea brasiliensis (rubber tree). Lineage: Eukaryota; Viridiplantae; Streptophyta; Magnoliopsida; Malpighiales; Euphorbiaceae. The record is from RNAcentral.
AUUCUGAAUGGAAAUAUUCUUUUUUAGCUUUGUCUGCCAUAAUUUUUUUUUUUGCUUGUUUGGGUAUUCAUUUAUUAUUCGUUUGAUUAUUUAUCGUUUUGAUGUUUUUAUCAUUUAUUUGUCUGAGUGUUUAUUUGGGUCAUAGGAGGUCAUGAUGAUGAUGGGUUUUAGUGCUUUGUCCAUAUAUGAGGUAGCCAUAAACAAGUGAAAUCUUAUUGUGAGAGGCUAGUUUUUUACAGUUUACCCCUUCCCCUCUUUUUUAUUUGGUUGAGUAGGCGUAUGAUUGACAGGAAUCGGAUGGCUUCAGGUAAGAGGUUUUGUUGGGGGAUCAUGGCAAACUUGUUUCCAUAAUUUUUUUUUUUUUGUAGAUUAAAGGAGAUAUGAGCCGUGUGUUAUUUACUGACUGGGUUUUUCCUAGUCUUGCUAAAAGUCUAAGCUUGUACGUUUACUUCUCCUCUGGAAGCCCCGGAGUGAUCUCAUGCCCACUGGGUCGAUCAUUGCUUAGAUAUGGUGGAAUGAAUUGAUGAAGAAAAAGGAAUCGUUUUUACUAGAGUUUAUUUUUACAGAUCUGUAUUUGUGGAAUGUUAAGUUGUUGAUAGAUGCUGGUUACUUUUGACAGUAUCAUGUAGUAGACUCUGGGAUUAGGAAGAGCUAUGGAGGAAGCGUCACUUUAUGAUUUGGUUUUAUUAGUUAUGUGCAGUUAACACUGACUUUUCCAUGUAUAUAUGACAUCCAUGGGUCUAUGAAAUGCAUCAUAGCUUCGUGAUUAUUAUAUGGAUGAUGGUAUGCUUGCAAUUAAAAAUUCAAUUGCAGUGUGAGUCACAUCGAAUUUGUGUCGUUUAAUGGCUUCAGGUCCAGAAGAUGAUGUUGCUGA